This 867-nucleotide long non-coding RNA is filed under the name Homo sapiens (human). Its description in RNAcentral is "non-protein coding lnc-RTN4IP1-6:1". The record is from RNAcentral. Lineage: Eukaryota; Metazoa; Chordata; Mammalia; Primates; Hominidae.
AGAUUGCUAGCACAGCCGCCGAGAGCUUCCUCUCUUCGCAUGUGUAUUUCAACAUUGACUUGGAAUCUUCUUACUUCCCUUUGAAGGCACUUAACCUCAACGCUUACUUGGGCUCUAUUGUAUUCUAAACACUCCAGAUCGCCCUCCUUCCUGGCGCGGCAGAAUUAGGGGGCGCACGUUCCUUAAAUUAAGGAAACUUAAAAUUUACCUACACAGUUUCUGAUUUCUCAGCUCAAAUCCCCAGGUACAAAAGACACAAAUCUUACUUCAAAAGAGCAAGUUAAAUUGUUUUUGCAGCUAGUGUAAUACAGUGGAGCUGUCUGGUCCUCAAGCUGUUGUGUAUGUAACGCACGUUUCCCCGCCCCCCGCCCCAAAAGUUGUAACAUUCCGUUUCUCCUGCUAACGUUCAAACUUGGCAGAACUAACUUUCCUCUUUUAACUAUUUAGUAAAUAGGGAAAUAGGCAAAAGUUAUAAUUCUACAGAUUGUUUGUUUUCCUUUCCUCUCCUCCCAGAACCCACAGGCUGACUUCCCAGGAGUGUAAGUAAAAUGUAGAGCAUUAGUCGUUUCACAGUUCAGAGGAAUAUUGAACUGAUCACUGCAAGUGGAAAGCGGUCGGAGGCAGUAAUUAGUGGGGCUUAUUCUGAGCCCCGGCCAGCUUUUCCUCCAGCCCAGUCAGUCCUCUGUUGAAGGAAGGACAUCCUGUGAUGAUGGCAUACAAUGUCCUGUUUGUUUAUUAUUAAGAGCGUGGACCUUGCAUUCCUGCUUCUCAUUACAAAACAAACCAGAUGCUUUACUUCCUUCAAUGGUCUUGUGCCUUCAGCAAGGAAUCCUUUAAUUCAGAGAAACAAUGUUUAUAGCAAACACC